Drosophila obscura is the source of this 335-nucleotide long non-coding RNA. RefSeq lists it as uncharacterized. The record is from RefSeq and is a predicted model, not a curated record. The transcript has 3 exons. Lineage: Eukaryota; Metazoa; Arthropoda; Insecta; Diptera; Drosophilidae.
ACAUUAAUUUAUUGCAUCAACAAAUAAUUAUAUAUUUGUGUUUUUGUUUUCAUACCAUACUGGUAUUUAGAGUAGUAGAAUACGUCCAUUAUCGUUACUGCUUAUCGAUAACUUACUUUGAUCAAAACAGUUGUAGUCGAGGCUAUUUCUGAGAAAUUUGUUGAAUUUGGUUUGCGAAAAAGUUUCCAAUUGUUUUGAAUGGAUUGCAGAAAUAUUUUGAAUUACCGGAAAUAUUGUGAGAAAAUCUUGUGACGUGACAGUCUGACACACCAGACAUACGCAAAUACGAGUAGAGAGGGUUUUGCCACUGCAGAAAAUUGAAAAGUUUGAAAUAU